This 148-nucleotide non-coding RNA is filed under the name Homo sapiens (human). The record is from Rfam by way of RNAcentral. Lineage: Eukaryota; Metazoa; Chordata; Mammalia; Primates; Hominidae.
GCUGGGUGUGGUGGCACUUGCCUGUAGUCCCAGCUACUCGGGAGGCUGAGGUGGGAGAAUUGCUUGAGCCCAGGAGGUUGAGGCUGCAGUGAACCAUUAUGGCGCCACUGCACUCCAGCCUGGGCAACAGAGUGAGACCCUGUCUCAA